AUACGAGGGGUCCAAGCGUUGUUCGGAAUUACUGGGCGUAAAGCGGGUGUAGGCGGACUGAUUAGUCGGAUGUGAAAGCCCUGGGCUCAACCCAGGAAGUGCAUUCGAUACUGUCAGUCUUGAGUAUUGGAGAGGGAAGUGGAAUUCCUGGUGUAGCGGUGAAAUGCGUAGAUAUCUGGAGGAACAUCGGUGGCGAAGGCGACUUCCUGGCCAUAUACUGACGCUCAGACCCGAAAGCGUGGGGAGCAAACAGGAUUAGAAACCCGAGUAGUCC
Molecule: ribosomal RNA, 274 nt
Filed under: uncultured bacterium
Lineage: Bacteria
Description: partial 16S ribosomal RNA
Rfam family: Bacterial small subunit ribosomal RNA
Source: RNAcentral